RNAcentral lists this ribosomal RNA (497 nucleotides) under uncultured bacterium. RNAcentral's name for it is "partial 16S ribosomal RNA". It matches the Rfam family "Bacterial small subunit ribosomal RNA", at positions 28 to 507 of the family's 1533-position model. The record is from RNAcentral.
GAUGAACGCUGGCGGCGUGCCUAAUACAUGCAAGUCGAGCGAACGGACGAGAAGCUUGCUUCUCUGAUAUUAGCGGCGGACGGGUGAGUAACACGUGGAUAACCUACCUAUAAGACUGGGAUAACUUCGGGAAACCGUAGCUAAUACCGGAUAAUAUUUUGAACCGCAUGGUUCAAAAGUGAAAGACGGCCUUGCUGUCACUUAUAGAUGGAUCCGCGCUGCAUUAGCUAGUUGGUAAGGUAACGGCUUACCAAGGCAACGAUGCAUAGCCGACCUGAGAGGGUGAUCGGCCACACUGGAACUGAGACACGGUCCAGACUCCUACGGGAGGCAGCAGUAGGGAAUCUUCCGCAAUGGGCGAAAGCCUGACGGAGCAACGCCGCGUGAGUGAUGAAGGUCUUCGGAUCGUAAAACUCUGUUAUUAGGGAAGAACAUAUGUGUAAGUAACUGUGCACAUCUUGACGGUACCUAAUCAGAAAGCCACGGCUAACUACGUG